Molecule: non-coding RNA, 2600 nt
Organism: Malus domestica (apple)
Lineage: Eukaryota; Viridiplantae; Streptophyta; Magnoliopsida; Rosales; Rosaceae
Source: RefSeq, a predicted model, not a curated record
AGAGAGAGAGAGGACUAGACGGCUGCUGAAAUUCGUCUACUUGAUGAAUUUGAGUGCGCUGCUCUAUCGAAUUCUUAUGCAUUUAUUUAAUCUUAUUAUUUCAACCACUAAUUAUAAUAAAUUAAAACAACAGCCAAAGCGCGGCCUGCUUCUUUGGCUGCAGCCGCUGCUUCUACUUCUGGGCUUCGGCUUCUGCUUCUGCUGGUGGUGGUGGACUUUUUCUGAAUUGGGGUUUCAUCAUCAUCAAUCACUUGUUCAUCUAUCAAAGUCCCAAUCUCUGUCGUUGCGGUGGUGAUCAUUAGGAAAUUAAGAAGAUGGGAGCGGUUUGUUCCAAGAAGUCGAGGAGUACGAGCGUGAAGAGCGCCGGUUGGGAUAUCAAUCGGCAACAAGUUCAAGUUGAGCAGCCCAAGUCAAGCUUGAAGACGGGUGGCGGCUUCACUCCGUCCUCGCCUCAGCCUCCGCGCAGGGAUGACAACGAGGAACAGUUUUCAGACAAGGAAGACAAUCAGAUUCAGAUGGAUAGAAUUAAUCCUUUUGCGUAUGAGUCUGACGAUGAAUUCUACGACGGAAUUCCGCGCUAUCCCACCUCCUUGUCUCAGAAAUCCAGCUCCUUUCGCUCUAAGCAGGCCGCCGCUAAGGUUUCUGAGGUGAGUUCGCGGUUGGGCAGAGCUGGCAGUGCUGGCCUUGGAAAGGCAGUCCAGGUCUUGGACACACUCGGGAGCAGCAUGACAAAUUUGAAUUCCGGCCCUGGUUUCGCUUCCGCAGCACCUGCCAAAGGCAAUGAAAUUGCAAUCAUUUCGUUUGAGAUUGCCAACACUAUUGUUAAGGGUUCCAAUCUAAUGCAAUCCCUUUCCAAGCGAUCUAUGCGCCAGUUGAAAGAAGUGGUGCUUGUUUCACAAGGUGUGCAGCAUUUGGUGUCCAAAGAUAUGGAUGAAUUAUUAAGGAUUGUUGAGCUGACAAAAGGGAAGAACUACAAAUUUUUUCGGGGGAGGUUGUUCGUUUUGGAAAUCAAUGCAAGGAGUCUCAGUGGCACAACUUGGACCGAUAUUUUGACAAAAUCAGCAGAGAACUUACCCCUCUGAAGCAUCUGAAGGAGGAUGUAGGUUCGUUGAUGCAGCAACUGAUGGCUUUGGUCUUGUUUACUGCUGAAUUAUACCAUGAGUUUCAUGCGUUGGACCGAUUGGAACAAAUCUAUGCACGCAAGCGUCAGGAAGAAGGUGACAGCCUUGGAAGCUUGAGGUCAGGAUUAAAAAGCCAAAGGAAAAUAGUUAAAUCUUUAAAGAAAAAGUCGCUUUGGUCCAAAAGUAUGGAAGAGGUGAUGGAGAAGCUUGUUGAUAUUGUCCACUUUUUACAUCUAGAAAUACAUUCGGCCUUUGGUGGUGCUGAUAGUCAUGAAGCAGUGGAGGGACCUAUGAGCAAUCAUCAAAGACUCGGACCAGCUGGACUUUCUUUACACUAUGCAAAUAUAAUCCUCCAAAUUGAUAGUCUUGUAGCCCGGUCAAGUUCUAUGCCUCAAAAUACAAAGGAUACAUUAUAUCAGAACUUGCCGCCUAAUAUAAAAUCAUCCUUGCGCUCCAAAUUACAGUCUUUUCAUGUUAAAGAAGAGCUUAGUAUUACAGAUAUCAAAGCUGAGAUGGAGAAAACUCUACACUGGCUUGUUCCAGUUGCUACAAACACAGCAAAAGCCCAUCAUGGUUUUGGCUGGGUAGGAGAGUGGGCGGGCUCUGGUUCCGAGUCAAACCGAAAGCCAAUAUCGCAGACUGAAGCGAUUCGAAUUGAGACAUUCCAUCAUGCAGACAAGGAAAAAACAGAAGCCUGUAUACUCGAUCUAAUCUUAUGGCUUCACCAUUUGGCUUGUCAAACCAAGUCUAGUGCCGAUAAGGGGGGCAUGAAGUCACCUGUCAAGUCCACAACCAGUACAACCCUCGUGAAGACAAAUAAGCAGCUGCCCACUGGAGUUCAACCAAGCAUGCUAACAACUGAAGACGCGGAGAUGCUGCAGGAUGUGAGCAAGAGAAAACGGAUUCCAGGUAAUAGUAAGAGUCAGGACUUUGACAGUGCCAGCUCUAGUUCAACAGAGGGCCGAAAAUUGAGUAAGAGUAACAGCUACUCACAUGGGCAAGGAAGCGAGAAAUUGUUACAUUUGAGUAGGCCCUCGUCUGGCGUUGAUUUUGGUAUCGAUAAGGAAAAAGCACUGGAUGUUAUAGAUAGAGUGGACGGACUCACAAUCACAUAGAGUUUACCGAAUGUUAUGUGUUAUAGACGUCAUUCGGCGGAGACGAGUCAAGUGGUAUGUGCGGCAAGGGGGGAGAAAUUUACUGUGCAUAUUUUCACCAUGCUUAUACAUCGUGAAUGUUUCGACCAAAUAUGAAAAAAAAGGGGGAAGGCAUAUGUACAGUGUGGAUGUAGUGAGUGGUGAGUGACUGAUUUUCUGAGUAGGGGUGUAUAGAGCUCAAGGAUGGGUGCUUUUGGGCACAAAUAUUUAUAUUUGUAUUUGUAGAUUUUAUUUGUUUAUUUUUAAAUUAUCUGGAUUUCGAUGUAUCUGUGUGUGUUAUAUUGCACUAUUACUAGUACAGUAAUUCUAAUAGGUGCCAUUUUGA